Molecule: ribosomal RNA, 1530 nt
Filed under: Shigella flexneri K-272
Lineage: Bacteria; Pseudomonadati; Pseudomonadota; Gammaproteobacteria; Enterobacterales; Enterobacteriaceae
Description: bacterial SSU rRNA
Rfam family: Bacterial small subunit ribosomal RNA
Source: RNAcentral
AGAGUUUGAUCAUGGCUCAGAUUGAACGCUGGCGGCAGGCCUAACACAUGCAAGUCGAACGGUAACAGGAAGCAGCUUGCUGCUUCGCUGACGAGUGGCGGACGGGUGAGUAAUGUCUGGGAAACUGCCUGAUGGAGGGGGAUAACUACUGGAAACGGUAGCUAAUACCGCAUAACGUCGCAAGACCAAAGAGGGGGACCUUCGGGCCUCUUGCCAUCGGAUGUGCCCAGAUGGGAUUAGCUAGUAGGUGGGGUAACGGCUCACCUAGGCGACGAUCCCUAGCUGGUCUGAGAGGAUGACCAGCCACACUGGAACUGAGACACGGUCCAGACUCCUACGGGAGGCAGCAGUGGGGAAUAUUGCACAAUGGGCGCAAGCCUGAUGCAGCCAUGCCGCGUGUAUGAAGAAGGCCUUCGGGUUGUAAAGUACUUUCAGCGGGGAGGAAGGGAGUAAAGUUAAUACCUUUGCUCAUUGACGUUACCCGCAGAAGAAGCACCGGCUAACUCCGUGCCAGCAGCCGCGGUAAUACGGAGGGUGCAAGCGUUAAUCGGAAUUACUGGGCGUAAAGCGCACGCAGGCGGUUUGUUAAGUCAGAUGUGAAAUCCCCGGGCUCAACCUGGGAACUGCAUCUGAUACUGGCAAGCUUGAGUCUCGUAGAGGGGGGUAGAAUUCCAGGUGUAGCGGUGAAAUGCGUAGAGAUCUGGAGGAAUACCGGUGGCGAAGGCGGCCCCCUGGACGAAGACUGACGCUCAGGUGCGAAAGCGUGGGGAGCAAACAGGAUUAGAUACCCUGGUAGUCCACGCCGUAAACGAUGUCGACUUGGAGGUUGUGCCCUUGAGGCGUGGCUUCCGGAGCUAACGCGUUAAGUCGACCGCCUGGGGAGUACGGCCGCAAGGUUAAAACUCAAAUGAAUUGACGGGGGCCCGCGCAAGCGGUGGAGCAUGUGGUUUAAUUCGAUGCAACGCGAAGAACCUUACCUGGUCUUGACAUCCACGGAAGUUUUCAGAGAUGAGAAUGUGCCUUCGGGAACCGUGAGACAGGUGCUGCAUGGCUGUCGUCAGCUCGUGUUGUGAAAUGUUGGGUUAAGUCCCGCAACGAGCGCAACCCUUAUCCUUUGUUGCCAGCGGUCCGGCCGGGAACUCAAAGGAGACUGCCAGUGAUAAACUGGAGGAAGGUGGGGAUGACGUCAAGUCAUCAUGGCCCUUACGACCAGGGCUACACACGUGCUACAAUGGCGCAUACAAAGAGAAGCGAUCUCGCGAGAGCAAGCGGACCUCAUAAAGUGCGUCGUAGUCCGGAUUGGAGUCUGCAACUCGACUCCAUGAAGUCGGAAUCGCUAGUAAUCGUGGAUCAGAAUGCCACGGUGAAUACGUUCCCGGGCCUUGUACACACCGCCCGUCACACCAUGGGAGUGGGUUGCAAAAGAAGUAGGUAGCUUAACCUUCGGGAGGGCGCUUACCACUUUGUGAUUCAUGACUGGGGUGAAGUCGUAACAAGGUAACCGUAGGGGAACCUGCGGUUGGAUCACCU